Long non-coding RNA from Sebastes umbrosus (honeycomb rockfish), 1815 nucleotides. RefSeq lists it as uncharacterized. The transcript has 3 exons. The record is from RefSeq and is a predicted model, not a curated record. NCBI's taxonomy places the organism in Eukaryota, Metazoa, Chordata, Actinopteri, Perciformes, Sebastidae.
AGCCCAACCAUGUUGUAUUUUCCUAAACCUAACUAAGUGGUUUUGAUGCCUAAACCUAAGCAAGUGUUUGUGUUUAAUUGACAACAUUAAGCAUGUGUUUACUGCAGGCGAAAAUUGACGCCGAGGGGGUCUGACAAAGCGUCAGUAUGUAAUGAGUUGGGAUGAGAACGUGUUGGCUGCACAGAUGGCGUACAGUGGUUCUGUAGAGCUUUUUCACUGAAAACAGCUGCCUGGUAAGAAUAUUUUGGUCUUUUUGGUCACCAGAAAACCAAAACAGUGAGCUGAAACAAGCUAAAAGGUUCAGCAGUGCUGAGAGGAACUGCAGAGUCAGGUGAUAGUUCUCUGUGAGCUUGUCACUAUGAACAACCUCUUUUAUAUUAGAUGUUAUUUGAGAUAUUAUUAUUAUUAUUUAAAAAAGAUUAGAGGCACUGUAAGUGUCCCAUGAUGGUCCAGAUGGAGUGAUACUGGUCCAGAUGGAGUGAUACUACUUGAGCAAUAAGUUUCUACACAGCAGUUAAUCCCUCAUGGAUCAGAAACAAAAAGAUGUAUAUAGCUUCAAUCCAAAAUUAUCAGUACUUCCCUUCCCAAAAGCUAAAUCAGUCUAAUCUGAGAACCUAGAAGGUAUUUCUUUCUUUCCCAUUUUUACAUUUCGAUAAUGGAUUAAGCUCGUUAAGCUUAUCUCCCUCAUUGUGCGGCUCGAACAACUCCGGUGCUGUCUUACCCGCUGACUGGUGUAACUAUUAACACAACUGCUGCUGCCGUUGCAUCAUCGAAUCUCAUCAGGAGAGAGUGCAGACAGGAGAGAGGCCGGGUGGGGGGGGCCUUUGAAGAAUAGUUGCCAGGGAAACACAGCCUCUUAUUCUCAUGGCAACACACAGUCCGGUACCGUUCAGUGUUGGCAAUCAGGUGGAUUGGAUGGCUGGAUGAAUGAAUGGAUGUAUAGACUAUAGGCUCCUUAAUCUCCAGAGUGUGGGACACCAAAGCAUUGACUUUACUGCUUGUGGGGGUUGUAAACCAAACUGUCCACUGCUGGAAUUACAUGUCCUUUACCUUAAAUAGGGAUUUUUAUUUUCACUGUGUGUUCCCUUAAAGUUAAUUGCCUAAUGCGUAUUGAUCUCUCUUCUCAGUGAAAGGGCAAAGGUCAAGUACUGCACAGGAUGCUGAGGUCAAGGGAGGUGACAACUUGAACUAAGCCACUGAGGCUAUCACGCGUCGACAGAGUUUCGAUUGAACAGCAGAUACUGCUGAGACACAUGAUCAUCACCUGCUCUGAAAGACGGCGGCUCUGCAGUGAAGGAGACCAAAAUGAAUAAAUAACUGGUAUCCAAGGAUACUGAGGGAGGAUGGUGCGGCCCUCCCCCGCUGCGCAGCUGCAGUAACUUGAGGUACGCGGUUGCGCUCAAUCAACAUUCAGUGCUGCGUGAAUAAGAGCCCGGGAGAGAGGAGCAGACGCUGCCAGUGGGCCAGACGGCAGUUGUUAGACUGUGUCCGUGGUGGUUACGUCGGUGUUUGUCGUGUGUGCCGGAGUCGGCAGUGGUUUCCUCUUGGGAAUUAAGUGUGUUCAUUUUUGUAGUGCUGUGUGGCAUUUUCGCAGUUGCGCUUUCUGUAAGGUAGAAAGUAGAUUUAAGUUGUUUUUUAUACACUUUCCAUUUGUUGUUAAUAAAUUAUUACUCAUUGUUUGCACACAUCCGUUGCCCGUCUCUCUAUCCUGGGUUUGAAAGUUAUUGUUACUCCCUCCAUUCAUAUGACACACUAUGGCAUUUUUAAUGAAAUACUAUACCACAAUAUUUAAUGACAUUCUAUACUAUGACAUUU